This 253-nucleotide ribosomal RNA is filed under the name uncultured bacterium. RNAcentral's name for it is "partial 16S ribosomal RNA". It matches the Rfam family "Bacterial small subunit ribosomal RNA", at positions 524 to 776 of the family's 1533-position model. The record is from RNAcentral.
UACGUAGGGUGCGAGCGUUAAUCGGAAUUACUGGGCGUAAAGAGUGCGUAGGCGGUUCUUGAAGUCCGCUGUGAAAGCCCCGGGCUUAACCUGGGAAUGGCAGUGGAAACUGGAGGACUCGAAUUGAGCAGAGGGGGGUGGAAUGCCGCGUGUAGCAGUGAAAUGCGUAGAGAUGCGGCGGAACACCGAUGGCGAAGGCAGCCCCCUGGGCUUAAAUUGACGCUGAGGCACGAAAGCGUGGGGAGCAAACAGG